RNAcentral lists this ribosomal RNA (781 nucleotides) under Acinetobacter lwoffii. RNAcentral's name for it is "bacterial SSU rRNA". It matches the Rfam family "Bacterial small subunit ribosomal RNA", at positions 1 to 873 of the family's 1533-position model. The record is from RNAcentral. Lineage: Bacteria; Pseudomonadati; Pseudomonadota; Gammaproteobacteria; Moraxellales; Moraxellaceae.
UUUGGAAGGUUGAAUCCUGGCUCAGAUUGAACGCUGGCGGCAAGGCUUAAACACAUGCAAGUCGAGCGGGGAAGAGUAGCUUGCUACUUUACCUAGCGGCGGACGGGUGAGUAAUGCUUAGGAAUCUGCCUAUUAGUGGGGGACAACAUCUCGAAAGGGAUGCUAAUACCGCAUACGUCCUACGGGAGAAAGCAGGGGACCUUCGGGCCUUGCGCUAAUAGAUGAGCCUAAGUCGGAUUAGCUAGUUGGUGGGGUAAAGGCCUACCAAGGCGACGAUCUGUAGCGGGUCUGAGAGGAUGAUCCGCCACACUGGGACUGAGACACGGCCCAGACUCCUACGGGAGGCAGCAGUGGGGAAUAUUGGACAAUGGGGGGAACCCUGAUCCAGCCAUGCCGCGUGUGUGAAGAAGGCCUUUUGGUUGUAAAGCACUUUAAGCGAGGAGGAGGCUACCGAGAUUAAUACUCUUGGAUAGUGGACGUUACUCGCAGAAUAAGCACCGGCUAACUCUGUGCCAGCAGCCGCGGUAAUACAGAGGGUGCAAGCGUUAAUCGGAUUUACUGGGCGUAAAGCGCGCGUAGGUGGCCAAUUAAGUCAAAUGUGAAAUCCCCGAGCUUAACUUGGGAAUUGCAUUCGAUACUGGUUGGCUAGAGUAUGGGAGAGGAUGGUAGAAUUCCAGGUGUAGCGGUGAAAUGCGUAGAGAUCUGGAGGAAUACCGAUGGCGAAGGCAGCCAUCUGGCCUAAUACUGACACCUGAGGUGCCGAAAAGCCCAUUAGGACGCC